RNAcentral lists this ribosomal RNA (1000 nucleotides) under Staphylococcus pasteuri. Its description in RNAcentral is "bacterial SSU rRNA". It matches the Rfam family "Bacterial small subunit ribosomal RNA", at positions 63 to 1032 of the family's 1533-position model. Lineage: Bacteria; Bacillati; Bacillota; Bacilli; Caryophanales; Staphylococcaceae. The record is from RNAcentral.
CGGAAAACAGAUAGAGGGAGUUUGGCUCCCUUUAGGCGAUAGCGGCGGACGGGAGAGUAACACGUGGAUAACCUACCUAUAACACUGGGAUAUCUUCGGGAAACCGGAUCUAAUACCGGAUAACAUAUUGAACCGCGUGGUUCAGUAGUGAAAGGGGGCUUUGCUGUCACUUAUAAAUGGAUCCGCGCCGUAUUAGCUAGUUGGGAAGGAAACGGUUUACCAAGGCAACGAUACGUACCCGACCUGAAAGGGGGAUCGGCCACACUGGAACUGAAACACGGCCCAAACUCCUACGGGAGGCAGCAGUAGGGAAUCUUCCGCAAUGGGCGAAAGCCUGACGGAGCAACGCCGCGGGAGUGAUGAAGGUCUUCGGAUCGUAAAACUCUGUUAUCAGGGAAAAACAAAUGUGUAAGUAACUGUGCACAUCUUGACGGUACCUGAUCAAAAAGCCACGGUUAACUACGUGCCAGCAGCCGCGGUAAUACGUAGGUGGCAAGCGUUAUCCGGAAUUAUUGGGCGUAAAGCGCGCGUAGGCGGUUUUUUAAGUCUGAUGUGAAAGCCCACGGCUCAACCGUGGAGGGUCAUUGGAAACUGGAAAACUUGAGUGCAAAAGAGGAAAGUGGAAUUCCAUGUGUAGCGGUGAAAUGCGCAGAGAUAUGGAGGAACACCAGUGGCGAAGGGCGACUCUCUGGCUCUGUAACUGACGCUGAUGAGCGAAAGCGUGGGGAUCAAACAGGGAUUAGAUACCCUGGGACUCCACGCGCGUAAACGAUGAGUGCUAAGGGUUAGGGGGGUUCCCCCCCUUAUUGUUGCGUCUAAGCUUUAAGGACUCCCGCCGGGGGGAGUACGAGGGCAGGGUGGAGGCUUCAAGAAGUUACUGGAGACCCCCCCCACCGGGGGAUGAUCCGGGUGUAGUUGUAACAACGUGGACCACACUAACUAACCCUGGCGUGCCUGUUGUCGACCUGCACGUGGAUCUUCCUUUCCCGCGGAGGAGGAA